GUCUAUCAUGCCAAUGAUGUGCGGAUAUUGGCAGGGCCUCUGGCCCUUCCGUGGAAAUUACGGAGUCUCUGAAGGAACCGGGGCGGGCGCCAUGUGGGCGCCAUCAGUGAGCUAACAACGGUCCCAUCCAUCCUCACUUCUCCUUGGGUUUACUUCAAAAAAGUCAGCUUGGAAAACUUGUCCAGUAACUUCAGUGGUCCCACGUUACAUCACCAAAACAUAAGCCAGAGGUAGAGAUAUUCUUGCCAUUUAGUCUUUUCGUUUCUUCUCAGAGAAAGACACCGAUCCUGUUCAUAUUAAAAGGAGCAGAAGUCAAGAAGAUACCUGACCAGAAUGGAUUCAUCUUCAUAUUAAGUACAGCCUUACUCUAACCAAAUGAUCAUCGUGUCCCAUGCACUGAGCUACUCAUUGGCGACAGAGAGAUGAUCAAGACUGCCCUCAAGGUGUUUGCACGUUUGUGAAGAGAGAAACAGGAAACAGAACUGUAAAUGCUGUGAUAAAGGUCAGUUCAAUAUAUUCUCAGAGGCAUAUUUUUUAGAGGUCAUUGCUCCUCUAAGAAAAUGUACUAUGGUUACUUCCUGGAAAUGAGGAGGCAUAAGACCAUGCCAAUCACUGUGACUAUUUCUGCUCCUUGUUUGUCUUUUAACACUCCCUAAAGACCUGAAAAGGAAUAAAUACCUCAGCUCAA
Molecule: long non-coding RNA, 688 nt
Organism: Leopardus geoffroyi (Geoffroy's cat)
Lineage: Eukaryota; Metazoa; Chordata; Mammalia; Carnivora; Felidae
Exons: 2
Source: RefSeq, a predicted model, not a curated record